Molecule: ribosomal RNA, 301 nt
Filed under: uncultured bacterium
Lineage: Bacteria
Description: partial 16S ribosomal RNA
Rfam family: Bacterial small subunit ribosomal RNA
Source: RNAcentral
CAGUAGCCGCGGUAAUACGAAGGUCCCGAGCGUUGUUCGGAAUCACUGGGCGUAAAGGGAGCGUAGGCGGCGUGGUAAGUCAGAUGUGAAAUCCCGGGGCUCAACCCCGGAACUGCAUCCGAUACUGCCAUGCUAGAGGAUUGGAGAGGUAGCUGGAAUUCUUGGUGUAGCAGUGAAAUGCGUGGAGAUCAAGAGGAACACUCGUGGCGAAAGCGAGCUACUGGACAAUAACUGACGCUGAGGCUCGAAGGCCAGGGUAGCGAAAGGGAUUAGAUACCCCAGUAGUCCCUGUCUCUUAUAA